Molecule: long non-coding RNA, 476 nt
Organism: Vitis vinifera (wine grape)
Lineage: Eukaryota; Viridiplantae; Streptophyta; Magnoliopsida; Vitales; Vitaceae
Exons: 1
Source: RefSeq, a predicted model, not a curated record
AUAAACCUACGGUGGUCUCCUCCAAAAAAUCACACAAUUCUCCUUCUUCCAAGUCUCUCUCUAACCCUCAUAACCAAUCUGUUUUUUGUUUCUUCCCUCACAAUAUCAUUAUGAUGACGUCGAUGAUCAGCGCCUUCGAUGCUCUCAGCUUCGAACCCUUCUGCCAGAAAUUGAAGCUCUCCUUGGUUCCAUCUCUCAGGGAAAAGACGGCUCCGAAAGAGGCGAUGGUGAUAAAGAAGGAAGAGAAGGAAAGGAGCAAUACUUUGCCGCCGCCGCCGCAGUCGCCGCCGUCGCAGCAGAAGCAGCGGCGGCCGGAGGAGAAAAGGUCUAGGUUCGCGCCGGAGUUGGAUGGAUUGCACUGUUUUGAAACGAUUGUGCGUUAUUGAGUAGAGAAAUUGUAAAGAAAAACGAUCCGCAGAUAAAUUUUGGAAUCAUUUCGUAGAAAUGAUAUUAAAUUAACAUUCUUUUUAUUACUA